This 620-nucleotide ribosomal RNA is filed under the name uncultured bacterium. RNAcentral describes it as "bacterial SSU rRNA". It matches the Rfam family "Bacterial small subunit ribosomal RNA", at positions 61 to 727 of the family's 1533-position model. The record is from RNAcentral.
GUCGAACGCACUCUUCGGAGUGAGUGGCAGACGGGUGAGUAACGCGUGGAAACGUGCCUUUCUCUACGGAAUAGCCCUUGGAAACGAGGUGUAAUACCGUAUACGCCCUUAGGGGGAAAGAUUUAUCGGAGAAAGAUCGGUCCGCGUUAGAUUAGUUUGUUGGUGGGGUAAUGGCCUACCAAGACUACGAUCUAUAGCUGAUUUGAGAGGAUGAUCAGCCACACUGGAACUGAGACACGGUCCAGACUCCUACGGGAGGCAGCAGUGGGGAAUCUUGGACAAUGGGGGAAACCCUGAUCCAGCCAUGCCGCGUGAAUGAUGAAGGCCUUAGGGUUGUAAAAUUCUUUCACCGGGGAAGAUAAUGACGGUACCCGGAGAAGAAGCUCCGGCUAACUUCGUGCCAGCAGCCGCGGUAAUACGAAGGGAGCUAGCGUUGUUCGGAAUUACUGGGCGUAAAGCGCACGUAGGCGGAUUAGUAAGUAAGAGGUGAAAUCCCAGGGCUCAACCCUGGAACUGCCUUUUAAACUGCUAGUCUAGAGGAUAGGAGAGGUCAGUGGAAUACCGAGUGUAGAGGUGAAAUUCGUAGAUAUUCGGUGGAACACCAGUGGCGAAGGCGACUG